UGGGUACUGGCCAUGUCUCUAUAGCUACUAUCUUCUGGGGGUCCACUUCCACUCCACCCUUGGUGAUGAUAUGACCUAAGUACGAAAUGCGAUCAAGCCAAAACUCGCAUUUACUGAACUUCGCAUACAACUGGUGCUCUCUGAGAAUCUGAAGAACUAUCCGGA
RNAcentral lists this ribosomal RNA (165 nucleotides) under Iris domestica. RNAcentral's name for it is "5.8S ribosomal RNA". Lineage: Eukaryota; Viridiplantae; Streptophyta; Magnoliopsida; Asparagales; Iridaceae. The record is from RNAcentral.